Mauremys reevesii (Reeves's turtle) is the source of this 2730-nucleotide RNA transcript. It is a transcript of the gene named BCL2 interacting protein like, with no coding region annotated. NCBI's taxonomy places the organism in Eukaryota, Metazoa, Chordata, Testudines, Geoemydidae. The record is from RefSeq and is a predicted model, not a curated record. The transcript has 10 exons.
CAGGGCCAUAACUGGUGUCCUGAGAGCCGCAGGAGGGCAAAUCCACUGGGGAUCUGACUCCCAAAGAAACGGGGGAGGGGGAACCCAGCUAACGUCAGUGUUUUCUGAGGGCUGGAACAAUGGGUUCCUACGCAGACUGUGAUGAGAAACUCCGGCCUCAAAGGGACCAGAAGGAUCCGGAGAAGCAGGACUUGGCCGAGCAGGAGGAGGGAGCCGUAUCCAUCCAGGACAUGGAGCUGAAGGAGGAGUGGCAAGACGAGGAGUUCCCGGGGCCUCUCCCGGAGGAGGUCUCUGAGGAGGACCUUGAAGACUCCGGCGGGGAGCCCGGCCCAGUCGCCCCCAACACCCUGGAGCUGUGCGGCAAACGGCACAUGAAGAAGCGGCUGCCAGCGCCAGAUCUCAGCCUGUCUUUAGACCGGGCCGAGGGCUCAGUGCAGUCGGGCGAUUACCCGGAGCACACGCCGGACGGCAGCCUGGACAUCAACGUGGACGAGCUGGAGACACCGUCCGAGAGUGAGCUGCUGGACGGGCCAGAGGGCGGCCAUGACUUCGAGUGGGAAGAUGAACUGCCCAGGGCCCGGUGCCUUGACAGCAGCCUGCUCGAGGAGAAACUCAGCGAGGGGCGCGUGGUGGACGUCGAGGACAAGGAUGGACGGAAGUGGAGGAUCUUCCUUUCAGACGAGCGGGAGCAGAAAGUGGAUCUGAGCGUCGUUGAGCCCUACAAGAGGGUCAUCUCCCAUGGGGGGUACUACGGGGAAGGCCUCAACGCCAUCAUCCUCUUUGCCUCCUGCUACCUGCCCGACGGCAGCAUCCCGGACUAUCAGUACGUGAUGGAGCACCUGUUCAGGUACAUCAUCGGGACCCUGGAGGUGAUGGUGGCAGAAAGCUACAUCCUGGUGUGUCUGAACGGCGCCACGCUCCGCAGCCAGAUCCCGUCCUUCGGCUGGAUAAAGCAAUGCUACCAGACCAUCGACCGGCGGCUCCGGAAGAACCUGAAGGCCAUGAUUAUUGUCCAUCCCACCUGGUACAUCAAGGCGCUGAUGGCCGUUUUCCGCCCCUUCCUCAGCUCCAAGUUUGGCAGGAAAGUGCAGUUCGUGGACAGCCUGUGGGAGCUGUCGCAACAGAUUCCUCUCGAGCAAGUGCACAUCCCUGACUGCAUCCGACAGUGAGUUGAGCAUCCUGUCCGUCUCGCGUCGAGGGCUGGCGCCCCUCGGGCUGGCUGUGAGGCUGGAUCACAGCUGGAAUGGCUCCAGGGACACAAAGCGGUGAUGCUGCACAGCAGCAGCCCCCAGCGCCAGUAGGGGGCAGUCGCGCUGCUUAGUUCUGUAACUUCGUUACUUCUGCCCACCAGUGUUCCUUUAAAGGAGAAACCGAAACGACCGGGUUUGGGAAAGGCGCUUGCUGCCGGGGCUUUGUAAAUAGGUCCAGCUUAAAUGGAUGCAUUGGUUUAAACACUGGGGGGCUUCUAAGGUUAGGCCGGCUUAAAUGGAGGACUUGGCUUACACAGGUUUUUAUGUGAGUGCCGUUACAGUUAGAAACGGGACCGUAGGAGCAUAUGCCUUAUUGGGCUCAGUACGGGGUCCUCUGGCCUGAGAGACAGGAGGUCAGACCAGAUGAUCUAACAGUCCCUUUUGGUCUUGCAAUCCCUCAGAGCCCAAACGUCUACACUACAAUUUUAUAGUUCCGCAGCCCGAGUCAGCUGACCCAGACCAGCCGCAGGGUUUUUAUUGCAGUGUAGACGUACCCCUGUGGAUCUAAAACCAGCGUAGCGGUUGGUCUCACUCAGACUGAUCCCGGUUGGCUUUAUGGAUGGAAACAAGGUGUUUUUUUUUUGCCUGCACAGCUGCUACAGCUUCGGGAGAGGGAGUAAUUUCGCCUUAGCGCAGCACUGGCCAAAGGAGCAGAAGUUCCUUUGAGCCCCAAAGAGCUGAUCCAGCUCUGGAAGAAGGCGCUGGAUUCUGUUCCGCCUCCUGCAUUCUUGUGGGAUCGGCACUUCGGCUCCAGCUGCAGAAUCCUGUUCCCAAGAGGCAGAUAACGCCCAGGUCCUGGCCGCUGGAAAAGUGAUGGUCCAGUUUGUACGCUGACCAGCUCCAGGUUAGCCUGGAAGGGAGAGGGGAGAACGGGGACCCGCUGGGGAAAGCAGCGUGGCAGCGUUAGCUUUGUUAAUUCCUGGCACCUUUCAAGGGAAGUGUCUCCAUUUGCAAAUGGCACCAGAGCAGCCAAGACCUAGGUGGCUGGAAAUACCGUGCCCAGGGUCAAAAGACUUCACCUUGCAUCCUGCCACAGCUCCCCCUAGGCAGUGACGGGAUGCUGCAAGCUGGGUAGCGGGACAAGGGCAAAUGUAUUUCACAGAGAGCGUUUUUCUCCCAAGUGUUUACUGUCAGGAGUCUGAGGCAGGAAACUAACCAGCUCUCCCAACACCCAGGCCCAUUAUAACCUUGCAGUUAGCUUUCGCAGGCUCCACUUCCUUGCUGUUUGUCUCUGUCCGCUGCCCAGGCAUGCAUCCUUCGUCCUCGAUUGGUGUAAGAUCCCUUGGGUGUGUGUCCUCAGCCCCCCACCCUGCACGCUAGGGUGACCAGAUGUCUCGAUUUUAUCGGGACUGUCCCGAUAUUUACUUGUUCGAUCAGGAUGCGGGACAAACAUCAGUCGGGACGCAAAUUGUCCCGAUAUUUUGCCCUCCAGAGCACACGCAGAGGGGGCUCACACACACCCCGCCCCAACUCCACCCCG